AUGCAGGACAAACAACAAAUGGCCCAUGCUGGCCAAACACACAACACUUGGCCAUGCCGCCGUAUACCUAGCACUCUAAUACGAGAGGACAAAAGGAGGAGAAGAAGAGGGGUUAACCUCAGAUCCAUGAACGAAGACGCAACCGGGUCAGAUCAAAGGAGGCAUCGGCAACACCCGACGAAUCUGCGAGGAAAACAAGGGGAAAUCAGAGGUGAGGAGAAGCUAGCAGCCAACAAGAGCACAUACAUACACAUAUACCUGCAAAUCGAUGACCACAACAGCAGAUCGACAGAGACCUGCAUGCAAACAAGAUCACAAAUCAACUAA
This 327-nucleotide ribosomal RNA is filed under the name Triticum aestivum (bread wheat). Its description in RNAcentral is "partial small subunit ribosomal RNA". Lineage: Eukaryota; Viridiplantae; Streptophyta; Magnoliopsida; Poales; Poaceae. The record is from RNAcentral.